Molecule: non-coding RNA, 390 nt
Organism: Phodopus roborovskii (desert hamster)
Lineage: Eukaryota; Metazoa; Chordata; Mammalia; Rodentia; Cricetidae
Source: the annotation of a RefSeq genome assembly
UCAGGACACAGCAUGGCCAUGAAGACCCCUACUCAGGCCCUGGCAAUUUGGCUACUCUGGUUCUCAGCUGCCAACUGUGACAUUCAAGUGACACAGUCUCCCCCCUCCCUGACAGCAUCUCUAGGAGACAAAGUGACCAUCACUUGCCUGGCAAGUCAGGGCAUUAGCAAUGAGCUAAACUGGUACCAGCAGAAACCAGGAAAAGCUCCUAAAUUACUGGUUUAUAAUGGAAAUAGUUUGCAAUCUGGUGUCCCAUCAAGGUUCAGUGGCCAAUAUUCUGGGAGAAGUUUCACUCUAAGCAUCAGCAGCCUGGAGCCUGAAGAUGCUGGAACUUAUUUUUGUCUACAGCAUUACAGUGCUCCUCACACAGUGACACACGCCAUGACAUAA